RNAcentral lists this ribosomal RNA (873 nucleotides) under uncultured Pseudomonadota bacterium. Its description in RNAcentral is "bacterial SSU rRNA". It matches the Rfam family "Bacterial small subunit ribosomal RNA", at positions 62 to 952 of the family's 1533-position model. Lineage: Bacteria; Pseudomonadati; Pseudomonadota. The record is from RNAcentral.
UCGAGUGCGCGCCUGUAGCAAUACAGGUGGCGCACGGCGCACGGGUGCGUAACACGUGGGUAACCUGCCCUUUAGUGGGGAAUAACCUCGCGAAAGCGAGGCUAAUUCCGCAUAAGAUCCGCAAGGAUGAAAGCCGAAAGGCGCUGAUGGAGGGGCCCGCGCACGAUUAGCUAGUUGGUGAGGUAAUGGCUCACCAAGGCUAUGAUCGUUAGCUGGUCUGAGAGGAUGGCCAGCCACACUGGAACUGAGACACGGUCCAGACUCCUACGGGAGGCAGCAGUGGGGAAUCUUGCACAAUGGGCGAAAGCCUGAUGCAGCGACGCCGCGUGGGGGAUGAAGCUUCUCGGAGUGUAAACCCCUUUCGACCCGGACGAAUACCUCGCAAGAGGGGUGACGGUACGGGUAUAAGAAGCCCCGGCUAACUACGUGCCAGCAGCCGCGGUAAGACUUAUGGGGCCAGCGUUGUUCGGAAUUACUGGGUGUAAAGGGUUCGUAUGCGGUGUGGCAAGUCGGGAGUGAAAUUUCUGGGCUCAACUCAGAGACUGCUUCCGAAACUGCUGUGCUGGAGUGUGGGAGAGGCGCGUGGAAUUGCAGGUGUAGCGGUGAAAUGCGUAGAUAUCUGCAGGAACACCCGUGGCGAAAGCGGCGCGCUGGACCACUACUGACGCUGAGGAACGAAAGCUAGGGGAGCAAACAGGAUUAGAUACCCUGGUAGUCCUAGCCCUAAACGAUCAGGACUUGGGGUGCCACCCGUUCGGGUGUCGUCCCGGAGCUAACGCGUUAAGUCCUGCACCUGGGGAGUACGGUCGCAAGACUGAAACUCAAAGGAAUUGACGGGGGCCCGCACAAGCGGUGGAACAUGUGGUUCAAUUC